RNAcentral lists this long non-coding RNA (395 nucleotides) under Helianthus annuus (common sunflower). Its description in RNAcentral is "hypothetical non coding rna". Lineage: Eukaryota; Viridiplantae; Streptophyta; Magnoliopsida; Asterales; Asteraceae. The record is from RNAcentral.
GACAAGCUUUCUCCACGGACUCCGCAAAACAUGUCGUAUUGCUUCUGCACCAUAUCUCUCUUGCUUUCGAUCAGUUCUUCAUUUCCCUCAUAGUACUCGAUCAAUGCAUUCCAGAGUGCAUUUGCAGUUCGGUGUUCUUCAAACAUGUUGCAAUCGUUUGUUGAUAAAGCCAUGGUUAGAGCGGCGUGUGCACGACGAUCACGUUGAAUGAGGGCCUUGUCUUCGUCAGUGAAGGUAGUAGCAUCGUUGUUAGUAACUACCGCAUCUCCUCUAACUACCGUUGGAACUCGGCGAAUUUGUUGAUUAUGCGAUAAAACACUUAGCGAUUUGAAUUAUUUCGCUAUAUUCAACGCUGAGAUCGCUAUAUUCAAAAGAUAAGUUCGCUGUAUUCAAAU